This 460-nucleotide ribosomal RNA is filed under the name uncultured bacterium. Its description in RNAcentral is "partial 16S ribosomal RNA". It matches the Rfam family "Bacterial small subunit ribosomal RNA", at positions 338 to 795 of the family's 1533-position model. The record is from RNAcentral.
CCUACGGGUGGCAGCAGUGAGGAAUAUUGGUCAAUGGACGAGAGUCUGAACCAGCCAAGUAGCGUGAAGGAUGACUGACCUAUGGGUUGUAAACUUCAUUUAUAUGGGAAUAACAUGUUCCACGUGUGGGAUUUUGUGUGUACCAGAUGAAUAAGGAUUGGCUAACUCCGUGCAAACAGCCGCGGUAAUACGGAGGAGCCGAGCGUUAUCCGAAUUUAUUGGGUUUAAAGGGAGCGUAGGUGGCUUGUUAAGUCAGUUGUGAAAGUGUGCGGCUCAACCGUAAAAUUGCAGUUGAAACUGGCAGUCGUGAGUACAGUAGAGGUGGGCGGAAUUCGUGGUGUAGCGGUGAAAUGCUUAGAUAGCACGAAGAACUCCGAUUGCGAAGGCAGCUCACUGGACUGCAACUGACACUGAGGCUCGAAAGUGUGGGUAUCAAACAGGAUUAGAUACCCCUGUAGUC